Molecule: non-coding RNA, 135 nt
Filed under: Desulfitobacterium metallireducens
Lineage: Bacteria; Bacillati; Bacillota; Clostridia; Eubacteriales; Desulfitobacteriaceae
Also listed under: 1 other name
Description: MoCo sequence
Rfam family: Molybdenum/Tungsten riboswitch aptamer (Moco RNA motif)
Source: RNAcentral
GUGAAUAUCUUGCUCCGAAACUAGAUAACCUAAGGCCUUUUUUAAGGUGACGGUGACUAGGCUAGUGUUUAUACACUCGGGUAUUGUCGGAAACGAUAAUAUCUCCUAUUGGAAAGGAGUCUGUUAAGGCAAAGC